Molecule: ribosomal RNA, 497 nt
Filed under: uncultured bacterium
Lineage: Bacteria
Description: partial 16S ribosomal RNA
Rfam family: Bacterial small subunit ribosomal RNA
Source: RNAcentral
GAUGAACGCUGGCGGCGUGCCUAAUACAUGCAAGUCGAGCGAACAGAUGAGGAGCUUGCUCCUCUGACGUUAGCGGCGGACGGGUGAGUAACACGUGGAUAACCUACCUAUAAGACUGGGAUAACUUCGGGAAACCGGAGCUAAUACCGGAUAAUAUAUUGAACCGCAUGGUUCAAUAGUGAAAGACGGUUUUGCUGUCACUUAUAGAUGGAUCCGCGCCGCAUUAGCUAGUUGGUAAGGUAUCGGCUUACCAAGGCAACGAUGCGUAGCCGACCUGAGAGGGUGAUCGGCCACACUGGAACUGAGACACGGUCCAGACUCCUACGGGAGGCAGCAGUAGGGAAUCUUCCGCAAUGGGCGAAAGCUUGACGGAGCAACGCCGCGUGAGUGAUGAAGGUCUUCGGAUCGUAAAACUCUGUUAUUAGGGAAGAACAAAUGUGUAAGUAACUAUGCACGUCUUGACGGUACCUAAUCAGAAAGCCACGGCUAACUACGUG